Molecule: ribosomal RNA, 165 nt
Filed under: Escherichia coli
Lineage: Bacteria; Pseudomonadati; Pseudomonadota; Gammaproteobacteria; Enterobacterales; Enterobacteriaceae
Source: RNAcentral
AUUUGCCUGGCGGCCGUAGCGCGGUGGUCCCACCUGACCCCAUGCCGAACUCAGAAGUGAAACGCCGUAGCUCCGAUGGUAGUGUGGGGUCUCCCCAUGCGAGAGUAGGGAACUGCCAGACAUCAAAUAAAACAAAAGGCUCAGUCGGAAGACUGGGCCUUUUGU